Molecule: ribosomal RNA, 420 nt
Filed under: uncultured bacterium
Lineage: Bacteria
Description: partial 16S ribosomal RNA
Rfam family: Bacterial small subunit ribosomal RNA
Source: RNAcentral
AAUAUUGGACAAGGGGGGCAACCCUUCUCCAGCCAUGCCGCGUGUGUGAAGAAGGUCUUCGGAUUGUAAAGCACUUACGUCGGGAGGAAGGGCUUUAGGUUAAUACCCUGACGUUUUAACGUUACCAACAGAACAAGCACCGGCUAACCCUGUUCCAGCAGCCGCGGUAAUACAGAGGGUGCAAGCGUUAAUCGGAAUUACUGGGCGUAAAGCGCGCGUAGGUGGUUCAGUAAGAUGGGUGUGAAAUCCCCGGGCUUAACCUGGGAACUGCUUUCAUAACUGCUGAGCUGGAGUACGGUAGAGGGUAGUGGAAUUUCCUGUGUAGCGGUGAAAUGCGUAGAUAUAGGAAGGAACACCAGUGGCGAAGGCGACUACCUGGACUGAUACUGACGCUGAGGUGCGAAAGCGUGGGGAGCAAAC